GGAAGUAGCUCAGUGGUAAAGCACUUGCCUAGAUGUGCAAGGCCCUAGGUUCAAUCCCUCAAAUUUCA
RNAcentral lists this transfer RNA (68 nucleotides) under Marmota monax (woodchuck). RNAcentral describes it as "tRNA.Undet". The record is from RNAcentral. Lineage: Eukaryota; Metazoa; Chordata; Mammalia; Rodentia; Sciuridae.